GCGACGACGUUGGCGGUGGCGGUGGCGAUGGCGGUGGCGGUGGCGGUGGCGGUGGCGGUGGCGGUGGCGGUGACGGUGGCGGCAACCACGGCGGCAACCACGGCGGCGAACCUCUUGCGGACAAUCUCGUCGGCCGGCGACCGGUAUAGCCGCGACCGACCCGCAGGAAAGAAACAACUAUUCGACUUGAUGGAUCCGCGCUCCUUCGAACGUUCGGAUUCGAGUCGCCGACACGCACCGGCCAACGACACGACAGCCAUAGACAGCGAAGAAGAGAGCUUCGAACAUCGAACAUCGCGUCGUACAUCGUGCCGAACGGAGGAAUUGGAAAUUGGAGCGUCCAAACUGACAGUGAAGAAAGUGAGAAAAACGAGACGACGGGGCGACCCACUGGCGAACGAAACGCAACCUCCUCUCGAAGAAUCGACGAGGAUCUUGGAGGACAAAAAGUGGGAAAAAGGCACGCGGGUCAACGGAUACCUAUAAAACGAUAGAGACAAGAGGGGAAUAUACGAGACGCCGCGCCGCGUGGAAGGAUCGUGAACUCGCGGCAAACCAGAAGAGUAUUCGGGAACGAGGAGAACGAGAAGAACGAGAUGCCGGCGCGAGGAAAGGCAAACGAGGCAACACGAUAAAGAACGAAUCAACCAGGUAGAAAGACAGGGAUGCCGCGGUGAAGUUGCGAGAGAGCCGGCCAAACGAGAAGACCGACCAAAGAAGGAGAGGGAGAAGAAGAGAACGAUAGAAGACGGAUGUAUAUAGGUAGGAGGACAGGUAGUCGGCUCGAGGAAAGAAGAGACCGAGUGAAGAGCACACGGGGGAAAGAAGAGACGAAAGAAAAGGGAGGGUCCGCGAGGGGGAGUGGAGCGGUAAGCAGCGAAACGGAGCGGGGUAGAAAGCAGAGGGGUAAGGAGAGGAAAGGAAAGAGAAGAGAGAGACUCGUUCGAGAGAGAAUCUCGUACGUAUACCGGCAGUUCGGUUCGAUGACGUCACGACGUCGAUUUGAACGGACCAAUGAGCGUUCGAAGCGAAGCUGAAGAGGUAAAAAGGAUGUAGAGGGGACUGAACAGGCCGAAAGGACCCCGAGGGGGGCAACGAGCUCUAGGUUCCGGAGUUCGAGGGGGCAGGGGUAACGCGAAAGGUGCGCGCGGCCCCGGACGUGGGGCGCGGGGCCAGUUGAUCAGUGAGUGCGGUAGUGAUCUCAUCUCGUACCGCGCCAGGUGUGACUCCUCUCUUUCCUCUUCUUUUGAUCCGAGUCUAUGUGCCCUUGGUAAGACGGAGCAAGCAGUAGCGGACUUAAAAUUCACGUAUCGACUCGGCCGUGUCCUCGACUCCGAGCAACAGCCUCGAGCAACGGUCACCGACACCUGCAAGAAAUCUUCCUCGUUACUGCAAAAUUCUUAGCGAAUUCUCGGCGCAAUUUUGGUAACGAGCUACGAACCGCUUCUACGGAUUUUGGUUUUCGGCACUGGCCUUUUUUCCUACGAGAACGAACGACAAUUGCAUAGGUUAGCUGUGCAACAACAAGCCGUGACGAACAAAUGGAACGAAUCGAAGGUCGGCUUAUCAUGAAAGAUAGGUACUUACUCAUAUUUGCUGUAGGUACGUGACGAUGGACUUGUGCAACUUGGAUAAGCCAUUCCAGCGGCAAAGUAGGCUAGAAAUCUCAGUUGCCUUUGUUGCUGUAGCAGCUUUCAACAGGGAGAAAAAAUAAAGAAAAUUGAGUUUUAGAAAGUCGGGGAUUAUCGUUGAAUCGAGUCUAAAUCUUUCUGAUCAGUCUUCCUGUUACGCUCGAUACGAGAGCGAACCAGAAAUAAACCGGCAGUUUUUCAGAGUGGGGACACCAUCGACACGUGCAUGCCAUUAUCUGCACCGGGAAAUAGUGGAUUUUCGAUCGAGAGGGAGACGCUCGCUCGUAUAAACAGCCGUUAACGAUCGAUCCGUAUGUUUACCGAUUUUUACGAUCUCGAGAAUAGAAGGCCCGACACUGUCGGAUGAAUUGGCCGGCAGCAAAGAAGCUUUUCGAUUCUCGACGGUUUGAUUGGUUGGCACGACUAACCUUGCGAGUAUUUCAACACUCGAGGUAACAAGAAGAUCUUGGCGCGGACAUUUUCUUUGGUUAUCUAGCUGUAUGAGUAUUAUUCGACAUCAUAAAGCUAGGUUACCGGAGUUAAGCUCCUCGCCAUAUCAACUCCGCCGAUUCUUCUUCCCCGUUUCGAUUUGCUACUCAAGUAACCGCAAACCGAUGGAUGUAAAAAUGACUGAAAUCUUUAAAUACAUAUAACCAUAAGUAUUUUUAAAAAAACCAUAUAUGUAUAUAUAUUGUAAAUAAAUAUAAAUUUUCAGAAAGAAAGAAUAAAAAUAUUUUCUAAAACCCCAGAAAUCCCGACGAAUACUUACUGACCAUAUCGAUGAAAGAAAGAUGUCUUGUAGAAUAAACAACAUCGAAACACGAUGAAUAGAAAAAGAUCGCGCCUUACAU
Long non-coding RNA from Bombus huntii, 2482 nucleotides. RefSeq lists it as uncharacterized. The transcript has 3 exons. Lineage: Eukaryota; Metazoa; Arthropoda; Insecta; Hymenoptera; Apidae. The record is from RefSeq and is a predicted model, not a curated record.